AAGCUCAAUUUUACCAAUUUCUUUUAGGUGCAAAACAGCCCACAGACCUCUGCAUAAACCAUUUUCCCUUUGUCAGCAUAUCAGAAGGUAAAUGCUCAGUGCUAAAUCUUGGAACUGCUUGUAUAUGGAGCUUCAUGGCAUACCUGUCAGAUGUUCUGAUUCAUUUUUAGGACUCUGAAAUAUCACAGCUAUAAAAGAUUUAAAAGUUCAGCACAGAUUCAGCUGCUCGAUUCAAAGAACUGUAUUCAUUAACUGUUUACCUGCCCUUUGCAUACCCUCCAGGCUCAGAAUGGGAAUUGGCAUCUUAACAAUGAGCAAUGCACCAGCAUUAUGCUAAUGAGCCGCUUGGCAUAUUCACCCCAUGCCGCUCCACAGAAGUUCGUUAACUUUCACAGUACGCUAUGCUUAAAGAAGGCAGCGACAUUUAGAAAGGCAGGCAGCACAGACACAUGAAAGUCUCAGAGUUUGUCAGACAUGACUCAGCCCCCUUCCCACUUCCACAAGCAAACAUAUAUCUACAAAUGCAAAAUGUUGUUUCUUGCAGUUGAUGCAGACUUUCUGAGUGAUCCCUUUAAUCCUUCUUUCCCUUUACGCUACUUGCCGUCAGCUGGAGGAGUGUGAACACAGACAGGUGGUCCUCGCCUUGGAAGAGCUUCUCACAUGUGCUGACAGYGAGGCUGUAGAGCAAGUUUUUCUUGAUUUCAUGGUACAGAUUUCAAGGCUGCUUCCUGCAGGGCUGUCCAGUGUGAAUGUGAUCCCCCUAUUCACCUGUAGAGCUGUUCUGAAGUCUUCAUGAGAAGUGAGAGCCAAGCAGUGCCUAGAAGUGGUUUUAAAAGAUGCAGAUCAGCCACUGCCCCCGCCCUUUCCUCUUCAAGAUCUAUGUUCUGUUUACUGGAAAAUAGUUGGCGGUCAGUCACAGGAUGCACCACACUGCAUUCCUCUUCUGACAUGUGGAACUUGUUUGGUACCAUAAUGCAGCAGCUGGAGACACUUUUCUUAGAGCAGAGCUCAUGA
Molecule: long non-coding RNA, 1014 nt
Filed under: Dromaius novaehollandiae (emu)
Lineage: Eukaryota; Metazoa; Chordata; Aves; Casuariiformes; Dromaiidae
Description: lncRNA (ENSDNVG00000002709.1)
Source: RNAcentral